UAUAACAUUUGUGAGAAAAGAAACGUGUGAGUUCUCUCUUUCUCGGAAGAACUGUGAGCUGAAGAGUUGAAGAACAGAGAUGAAAAACUGAAGUCGAAGAACUGGUUUCCUCAAGCGUGAGUUCGAUUCUCAUCUCCGAUAACAAUUUCGUCAAGCAAGAGGAGAAUGAUAAGGAAUUGAUUACUUUGCGGUUGUUUGCUAAGAAGACGAUCUCUAGCAGAACUGAAGCUAAGGCCACGAUUUCAGACAGAACAGAAGAGCUCAACAGCUGAAGAGCUUCUCGCUGAAGGACACGAUUUUCAUAAUAGUUCUCUUAUAAAAUAGGAUUUUGUUUGAAUAGGGUUUAUCAGGUAGAUUAUGAUAUCGAUCUAGAUAAAUAGGCAUUAGUAUCGGUUGGUUCAGUAGGGUAUUGUGGCAAAUGGGUCUAUGCCCUUCCCUACAACUACAAAACCAGAGGUAAUACACUACAACCCGAACUUGGUUUAUCUGAUGCUUGGCUGAAGCUUACUUGCAAGCACAGCAUCUGUCUCUUAGUCCUCUUUGGACAACCUUUAAUCAGAGAAAGAAAACCUACAUUCUAUCAAUCUUAGAGAGAAUCUCUAUUCUACAUAAUACGUUGAAUCCAAACUUGGAAUAUAUACUAUCUGCAGGGAUAUUGAUGAAUUCUUGAAAAAUUUUUCUGCAUUGCCACCAAGGUCUCUGGAUCCUUCAAAGGACUUAGUUGUUGAUAGAUAUGGAAGUAUAGCUAGGAAGGAGAGAAUGAAACGUUGGACCCAAAAGCAAGAUAUGAAAAAAAGAUGCAGAGGAUGGCUAAGAUGAAUUUGAUUUAUCACUGUAUGUUUUAACAUUACCGGUUUUAAAAAAAAUACUUAUCAGUGUAUGUUUUGCAGAAGCCAACAUCUCUAACUUGUUGAAUUUGUAUUGUGUUCAUUUAGUUUCCGUAAUAUGUAUAACAUGCAUAUCUAAAGUAAACCUUCUAGUUAAUUUUUUCUUAUGUAACUCCCAGGUCAGUACUAGUUUCAAUUAUAUUGCAGCAGUUAACAAGUAGUACUAUUUAAUGUGUUAGUUCUAUGUUUUGAAGUGACAGAUAGAUAUCCAAACAUUUAUGGAAUUGUCAUAUUGCUGAUUUUGUAUUACUUUUGUGGAAUUAGGUUAAAUGAAGCAACACAACCAUUAUCAAGGAGAUUUCCUAUUCCAUCUAGCCAAAUCAAUCCAUACAGAAUCAUCAUCAUGAUUCGUCUCAUUGUUCUUGGUUUUUUGUUUCAUUAUAAAAUCAUUCAUCCUGUGGACGAUUUUUAUGGUUUGUGGCUAGUCUCUGUAAUAUGUGAAAUUUGGUUUGUUGUCUCAUGGAUUCCUAAUCCAUUUCCUAAGUAGCUUCUUGACCACAAGUAAGAAACUAAAUUCAGGCAAUCUCCUGUUUUUAUUGUACCAACACUGGUAGAAAAUGUUGGGACUCUUUAAAGUGCUAGUACAACUUCUCACGGGUACACUUUCAUUUUGAAUAUUCUAGUACAUCACUUGUUUUCUUAAUUGAUCUCAAUGUCUUAUUGGGAGAGACUUCAAAUUAUUAUUUUUUUGAUAUAAUCUUUGUUAUUUGUUUUCUUCUUGUUUUGUCACAAGGAAAGGAGCAACAUUGACAUAUGAUACUCGUACAAAUCUUCCAUUUUUUAGUUCAUUUACUACAUCAGACUAUGUUGCUACUCAGCGGCUUACGUGAGAAUUUUUUUUUAAGUUAGCUAUACUAAAGUAAUCUAACCCAGUCAUGGAUUACUUUAAGACAUCAUCUGAGUGAACUGGUCUGAUGUUAUUGUUGUCAUCUAAGAAUGUAGAAAUAUUGUGGCAUAUGAAAAAACUGAAAAACGUCCAAUAGUUGUAUCUUACCUUAGGUUUACUUUUACACUGAAGUAUUUGCCAAAACUUUUAAGAUGAUACCUUUUGAACCUACAUUCCAAUCCAAGCAUAUGACUUGAUAAGAUAUAGUGGAGUAUCUACUAUCCUGAGAGUAAUGCUUCAUUCAGAAAGGAGAAAAUGAUCUAGGACCAUUGUCUUCUAAUUUCUGGCUUUUUUCUGUCAUUAUGUAUAUUCUUUUAUGCUUAGUUUGUGCAUAUACUCUUUAAUGCUAACCUUUCCAAUUUGUGUCGUAUACAUUUCUUACAGAUACAAACAGAAAUUGAUCUUUAAGAAUUACAGGAAACAUUACUGGUAUACCUUCGUCACAUGCAAAAUGAGUCCCUCCCUUGUGUACCUAAUUUCCCUUCACAAGAGAGCUCGGGAUCUGUGGAAUCACUGUGCCUUGGAAAAUAUUCAGAGGAGACUUGUGCACUUAUUUUUUUUUCCGUUAUAACCAUUAUUUCUUUGAUUAACUCAUAGCAAGUUCCUCUUGUAGUGGUUUAAUGAUGUCUUCUCAACAGAUACAUCUGACAAGUGUGAGAAUGUUCUCAGUCGACUAUCAGCAUAAAUGCACUGUAUGCCUAUAUCUAUUAUUACAUUCUUCAUUACUAGCGUCAACCAAGUAAGGCGUAGAAUCACCAUUGGUAGGAGAGUCUCAAGUUUAUGUGUUUUGAAGUUAUAUUUAUGUUAUAUUAUAGGAUAUGACUAUAUGUGCUUAUGUUGA
Molecule: long non-coding RNA, 2614 nt
Organism: Solanum pennellii
Lineage: Eukaryota; Viridiplantae; Streptophyta; Magnoliopsida; Solanales; Solanaceae
Exons: 4
Source: RefSeq, a predicted model, not a curated record